Molecule: ribosomal RNA, 253 nt
Filed under: uncultured bacterium
Lineage: Bacteria
Description: partial 16S ribosomal RNA
Rfam family: Bacterial small subunit ribosomal RNA
Source: RNAcentral
UACGUAGGGGGCUAGCGUUGUCCGGAUUUAUUGGGCGUAAAGAGCGUGUAGGCGGCCAGGUAGGUCUGCUGUGAAAACUCGAGGCUUAACCUCGAGAUGUCGGCGGAAACCAUCUGGCUAGAGUCCGGAAGAGGAGAGUGGAAUUCCCGGUGUAGCGGUGAAAUGCGCAGAUAUCAGGAAGAACACCCGUGGCGAAAGCGGCUCUCUGGAACGGUACUGACGCUGAGACGCGAAAGCGUGGGGAGCGAACAGG